This 1158-nucleotide ribosomal RNA is filed under the name Triticum aestivum (bread wheat). Its description in RNAcentral is "partial small subunit ribosomal RNA". Lineage: Eukaryota; Viridiplantae; Streptophyta; Magnoliopsida; Poales; Poaceae. The record is from RNAcentral.
AUGCCGACGGAUGCAGGCAAGAAGGCGUAUGUUGUUGCCCUGGUGAUCCAGGUGAUCUACACCGGCAUGUACGUCGUCUCCAAGGCGGCCUUCGAUGGCGGCAUGAACACCUUCGUCUUCAUCUUCUACCGCCAGGCAGCCGCCACUCUCCUCUUGCUACCCCUCGCCAUCCUCCUCGAGAGGAGAAACGCGCCACCCAUGUCACUGUGGUUGUUUACCAAGAUCUUCAUGUACGCGCUACUCGGGAACACGGUGAGCAUGAACCUGCACAACAUCAGCCUCAAGUACACGUCGGCGACCGUGGCAUCAGCCACGAGCAACUCCAUCCCCGUCAUCACCUUCCUCUUCGCCGUCCUGCUCCAUCUCGAAGCCAUCAAGCUCCGCGCCGCCUCGGGCACGGCGAAGCUCGCCGGCGUCGCGCUCUGCGUGGCCGGCAUCCUCGUCAUCGCCCUCUACGCCGGUCCGCCGCUCAGCCCCCUCAACCACCACCGCGCCUUCCACGCGCACGCCGCCGCAACGGCCGCCGGGAAGCAGGGGGAGUGGAUGAAAGGCACGUUCCUGAUGCUCCUGGCCAACGUGACGUGGUCGCUCUGGAUCGUCCUGCAGGCGCGCCUCCUCAAGGAGUACUCCAACAAGCUGCUGGCCACGGCGCUGCAGUGCCUGCUCAGCACGGUGCAGUCGCUCGCGCUGGCGGCGGCCGUGACCGGCGGUGGCGGGGAGGACAUGUCGGCCGCCUGGACGCUGCGGUUGGACGUGGGUCUCGUCGCCGUCGCCUACUCCGGGUUCGUGGUCACGGGGGUGUCCUUCUACCUCCAGGCGUGGUGCAUCGAGAGGCGGGGCCCCGUGUUCUUGGCCAUGUCUAAUCCGGUGGGGCUCGUGCUCACCGUGUUCUGCUCCUCCUUCUUCCUCGGCGAGGUCGUCCACCUCGGCAGCGUCCUCGGCGGGGCGCUGCUCGUCGCCGGCCUGUACAGCGUGCUCUGGGGGAAGAGCAAGGAGCAGCCACCGCCGCCGCCGCUUAGUGCAGCUCCUGCAUCAGAAACCAUCAUGAAACAAGGAUGCGAUGGUAGCAAUGCUCGCACCGGCGCCAUGAACAAGGAAGAGGACGACGAGGUGAAACUGGAGGAGGAGAAGAGAGCCAAGCUGGAUUCACAGGUGUAG